GUCACCACCCCGAAGUCAAAGCAGCAGCCUUCAAGUUUCUUAACGUCUAACCGCCCGCCAUUAAGGAUGGAUGACACAGUAUGGGAACGAAUUCUGUUCAUAUAAACAGGGACGGAAAAUGCAGAUGGUGAUUAUUAACGGGAGACGACCGAAUUAUGCGAGAACUGCCUCAGACGUCAAUUUCACUUCUACCUUUCUGGACACGCCUUUUCUGCUGGGGCCAACGUAAAGAGGAUGCCACCACCAGAAGACCCCAAUUGAAAGACCAAACCUUCAAUCAAGCAAGCAGGAAACUUCAGAACAGUCAUCCAAGAGAAACGCCAGUAAAGAAAUCUACAUCCGGUCCUCCUUCUUCACCCUAGCACUCUCUCAAACCCACAGGUCAUUAAACAAAAUGUGCUCAUUUUGCAGAUAAAUUAACAGCAGCCUUUUUAGCAAUAAUCCUUUGAACUCCUUCCAUAGAAGAAUGUAUGAAAAUGAUCUCUCAGCUGUUCCAAGCACAAACAAGAGACAUCUACCUUCCAGCCACUUCCAUUAGCCAUUACAUUACUUGCAAAUUUGUCACCAGUAAUUGCAUUGUUUCUGGUCCCUCUGGAAUAUUUAAUAUUAAA
Polypterus senegalus (gray bichir) is the source of this 611-nucleotide long non-coding RNA. RefSeq lists it as uncharacterized. NCBI's taxonomy places the organism in Eukaryota, Metazoa, Chordata, Cladistia, Polypteriformes, Polypteridae. The record is from RefSeq and is a predicted model, not a curated record. The transcript is spliced from 3 exons.